Molecule: ribosomal RNA, 462 nt
Filed under: uncultured bacterium
Lineage: Bacteria
Description: bacterial SSU rRNA
Rfam family: Bacterial small subunit ribosomal RNA
Source: RNAcentral
UCGGACGUAGUUUGACUCCGUGGCUCAAGAACGACGCUGGCGGCAGGCCUAACACAUGCAAGUCGAGCGAUCCUUUCGGGGGUAGCGGCGGACGGGUGAGUAACGCGUGGGAACGUACCCUUUGCUACGGAAUAGCCCCGGGAAACUGGGAGUAAUACCGUAUGUGCCCUCGUGGGGGAAAGAUUUAUCGGCAAAGGAUCGGCCCGCGUUGGAUUAGGUAGUUGGUGGGGUAAUGGCCUACCAAGCCGACGAUCCAUAGCUGGUUUGAGAGGAUGAUCAGCCACACUGGGACUGAGACACGGCCCAGACUCCUACGGGAGGCAGCAGUGGGGAAUCUUAGACAAUGGGCGCAAGCCUGAUCUAGCCAUGCCGCGUGAUCGAUGAAGGCCUUAGGGUUGUAAAGAUCUUUCAGUGGGGAAGAUAAUGACUGUACCCACAGAAGAAGCCCCGGCUAACUCCGUG